AUCACUUCUCAGCCUUUUGGCCAAGAUCAAUUGUAGCACCUGUCCUUAUCAGUUUAAUAUCUGAUACUUCCUCUAUCUGAGGACCUUAUAGUAAACGUAAUUUUGCAAUAGGGAGAUGGAAUAGGAGCUUGCUCCAUCCACUCCACGCAUCGACCCAGUAUUGCAGUACCACCAGGAAUGGUGCAAAACAA
This is a small nuclear RNA of Myotis lucifugus (little brown bat), 191 nucleotides long. Its record names the gene U2. It matches the Rfam family "U2 spliceosomal RNA". From Rfam's summary of the family: U2 is a small nuclear RNA (snRNA) component of the spliceosome (involved in pre-mRNA splicing). Complementary binding between U2 snRNA (in an area lying towards the 5' end but 3' to hairpin I) and the branchpoint sequence (BPS) of the intron results the bulging out of an unpaired adenosine, on the BPS, which initiates a nucleophilic attack at the intronic 5' splice site, thus starting the first of two transesterification reactions that mediate splicing. NCBI's taxonomy places the organism in Eukaryota, Metazoa, Chordata, Mammalia, Chiroptera, Vespertilionidae. The record is from Ensembl.